This 460-nucleotide ribosomal RNA is filed under the name uncultured bacterium. RNAcentral's name for it is "partial 16S ribosomal RNA". It matches the Rfam family "Bacterial small subunit ribosomal RNA", at positions 338 to 795 of the family's 1533-position model. The record is from RNAcentral.
CCUACGCUGUGCUGCAGUGAGGAAUAUUGGUCAAUGGGCGCGAGCCUGAACCAGCCAAGUAGCGUGAAGGAUGACUGCCCUACGGGUUGUAAACUUCUUUUAUAAAGGAAUAAAGUGAGGCACGUGUGCCUGUUUGUAUGUACUUUAUGAAUAAGGAGCGGCUAACUCCGUGCCAGCAGCCGCGGUAAUACGGAGGAUCCGAGCGUUAUCCGGAUUUAUUGGGUUUAAAGGGAGCGUAGAUGGGUUGUUAAGUCAGUUGUGAAAGUUUGCGGCUCAACCGUAAAAUUGCAAUUGAUACUGGCAGCCUUGAGUACAGUUGAGGUAGGCGGAAUUCGUGGUGUAGCGGUGAAAUGCUUAGAUAUCACGAAGAACUCCGAUUGCGAAGGCAGCUUACUAAACUGCCACUGACAUUGAUGCUCGAAAGUGUGGGUAUCAAACAGGAUUAGAUACCCCGGUAGUC